This 501-nucleotide ribosomal RNA is filed under the name uncultured bacterium. RNAcentral's name for it is "partial 16S ribosomal RNA". It matches the Rfam family "Bacterial small subunit ribosomal RNA", at positions 30 to 523 of the family's 1533-position model. The record is from RNAcentral.
AUUGAACGCUGGCGGCAGGCUUAACACAUGCAAGUCGAGCGGGGGAAGGUAGCUUGCUACCGGACCUAGCGGCGGACGGGUGAGUAAUGCUUAGGAAUCUGCCUAUUAGUGGGGGACAACAUCUCGAAAGGGAUGCUAAUACCGCAUACGUCCUACGGGAGAAAGCAGGGGAUCUUCGGACCUUGCGCUAAUAGAUGAGCCUAACUCGGAUUAUGUAGUUGGUGGGGUAAAGGCCUACCAAGGCGACGAUCGUUAGCGGGUCUGAGAGGAUGAUCCGCCACAGUGGGACUGAGACACGGCCCAGACUCCUACGGGAUGCAGCAGUGGGGAAUAGUGGACAAUGGGGGGAACCCUGAUCCAGCCAUGCCGAGUGUGUGAAGAAGGCCUUAUGGUUGUAAAGCACUUUAAGCGAGGAGGAGGCUACUCUAGUUAAUACCUAGGGAUAGUGGACGUUACUCGCAGAAUAAGCACCGGCUAACUCUGUGCCAGCAGCCGCAGUAA